This 456-nucleotide ribosomal RNA is filed under the name Streptococcus mitis. Its description in RNAcentral is "bacterial SSU rRNA". It matches the Rfam family "Bacterial small subunit ribosomal RNA", at positions 28 to 470 of the family's 1533-position model. Lineage: Bacteria; Bacillati; Bacillota; Bacilli; Lactobacillales; Streptococcaceae. The record is from RNAcentral.
GACGAACGCUGGCGGCGUGCCUAGUACAUGCAAGUAGAACGCUGAAGGAGGAGCUUGCUUCUCCGGAUGAGUUGCGAACGGGUGAGUAACGCGUAGGUAACCUGCCUGGUAGCGGGGGAUAACUACUGGAAACGAUAGCUAAUACCGCAUAAGAGUAGAUGUUGCAUGACAUUUGCUUAAAAGGUGCAAUUGCAUCACUACCAGAUGGACCUGCGUUGUAUUAGCUAGUUGGUGGGGUAACGGCUCACCAAGGCGACGAUACAUAGCCGACCUGAGAGGGUGAUCGGCCACACUGGGACUGAGACACGGCCCAGACUCCUACGGGAGGCAGCAGUAGGGAAUCUUCGGCAAUGGACGGAAGUCUGACCGAGCAACGCCGCGUGAGUGAAGAAGGUUUUCGGAUCGUAAAGCUCUGUUGUAAGAGAAGAACGAGUGUGAGAGUGGAAAGUUCACACG